Molecule: ribosomal RNA, 431 nt
Filed under: uncultured bacterium
Lineage: Bacteria
Description: partial 16S ribosomal RNA
Rfam family: Bacterial small subunit ribosomal RNA
Source: RNAcentral
AACGAACGCUGGCGGCAGGCUUAACACAUGCAAGUCGAGCGCCCCGCCAGGGGAGCGGCCGACGGGUGAGUAACGCGUGGGAACGUACCUUUUGGUUCGUAACAACUCCGGGAAACUGGAGCUAAUACCGGAUAAGCCCUAACGGGGAAAGAUUUAUCGCCGAAAGAUCGGCCCGCGUCUGAUUAGCUAGUUGGUGAGGUAACGGCUCACCAAGGCGACGAUCAGUAGCUGGUCUGAGAGGAUGAUCAGCCACACUGGGACUGAGACACGGCCCAGACUCCUACGGGAGGCAGCAGUGGGGAAUAUUGGACCAUGGGCGCAAGCAUGAUCCAGCCAUGCCGCGUGAGUGAUGAAGGCAUUAGGGUUGUAAAGCUCUUUUGUCCGGGAAGAUAAUGACUGUACCGGAAGAAUAAGCCCCGGCUAACUUCGUG